AGAUUCCUAGGAAAUACGGAGGAAGCAGACUUUCAGGAACCACUGAAGGUCAUCGGCUUCCAACAUUUCUGACUAAGAACUGCAUAGGAAGUGCUUCCUCUGUUGUCUAUUAAUUAGAAAGGGAGAAUAAAGUCUAUCGACGUGUGCCAGCAAGUGGUUUGUGUGGAGCAGACGUUCGCUGGAGCUGCAGAGCUUGAUGUGAAUGGACCAGCUCUCUGCAACACAGAAGGAAAUCAACCCACAGAACAGUAGGAAAAUGAAUAUGGAAAUACCAGUAUGAAAGAAAUCAGGAAACCUGUUUAUCUGCCGUGUUCUGCCAAAUGAACAAUCAGAAAAUGUGUUUUUUUUUCUCCUCAUGGCUUUUUCAGUUGCAAGAAUUUAGGCAAAGUGAGAGUCUUAACCAGUGAUUAAGAAAUAAUGAUGUUAACGAAACAAGUCUGAAAAUUUUCAUCUUUUUCAUCAUCUCCUUUGAAGGUUUACAUAAAAGAAGGCAAGCCCAGUGGCAGUGGAUGAAAACAGCAGUGACUGAGCACGGAGUCGCGCUGCAAGGCUUGAGCAAGCUCUCUCAAAGAAGCUGAACACCUCCUGCAUGGGAGAACCUAUGGCAGAGGAAUUUUAAACAAGCAACCAACAUCAUGGAGGCAUCUGAACUCUCAUCUCCACCACUGAGAAAGAACCACCUUGCUUCCCUCAAAGCUGUACUGGAGGCCACCAGGUUAAUUCCAUGCUAUAUGCAUGGAUGAAAAGGAGGAUAAGAAGAAAGAGCAGGUCAUGAAGUGGCAAAGGUAUACGUGGAAUACAAAGGAAGAAAGUAAAAUAUGCAUUUGAUGUACAUGUGCACAUGCCAGAUUUACAAUCAACCCAAGGAGGACUGCCUUUUUCCCAGGAACUGAACACAACACCUGAAAACCAACAACUGCACCACUACCUCAGAAGAAUGCAAUGUGUGUUUUAUACCAAAGUCAUAUUAUUUUCCCUGUAACAAGUACAGAAGCAGCUUUAUUUGCAUUACUCACUCGCAGAUCUAGAGAAGAGAACACUGAAAUGCUAGAAAGACUUCUGAGAAGACGAAAGAGGAAGACAGUCGGUGUGUUCUGGCACGGAAAGAGGCUCUUCAACUUGUCUACAAGAAGCAUCUCUAUUUGGAAGACGACUAUAGACCAGUCGUGAGUGCACUUGCUGCUUCCACCAAGUGAAUAUCAAACCUGAGAAAAUGUGUAUCUGUGACCUCCCUAAGAGUUUUGGACAGUUACCCAUUUGCUGCUACCUCUCUGAGUUUUCUACUGACUACUUAAGCUGAAUUUCCAUCUGGAAUCAGACGAGUGCUUCAAGUUUCGUGUACCUGAUGGCAGCCAGUACUUGAUGUUGGAGGGAAAUCUGCAAUGAAAGUCUUCUGCCAAGAUCUCCAUUAGGAGGUUUGUGUUUCCUCCCAACAUUAAAGAAUAUCUCUAACAUCUGUAGCAAUGAACGGUGAGGAGUGUCAGUUCUGCUUCUGAAACAAGCAAUGCCACCAUUUGAAGGAGGAAAAAUGUGGAAUAAUGAAUAUGCCUUCUGCGAGCAGUCUGUUGUGUAACAGAAGAUGUGCAAAGCCUCUUGCUGGGUUUGUUUUCCUGAGUUUGUUCUAUACACCUCUAAAGAGUGCAGUCAAUUAUGCAAAAUUUGGUCAGUGGGAAAAGUAUUGCCCAGAGAGGCUAAACCCAAAUAUAAAGUGCCAGAGAGCACAAAGCAAGAAUGCUGGUUGAUGUGUCCUUAGGUAUCAGGAAGGAGAGAAACCCAUCACAUUAAAACAGAGAGCCAAUCCCUGCCUAACUGCAGCAGCCAUGACUUGAAAGAACACCUUUUUUUUUUUUUUUUUUUUUUCUUUUUUACCAUGAAUAUUCCCAGAAAAAAAUGGAGAGAGAGAAAGAGGAAGGUUGUGUUUGCUGGGGAUUCAGGAGGUUCAUGUUCCCUGUUCUUUUCCACAGUUGCUUUCUGUGUUACUUCGGUCCCUCUGUGCUUCAUUUCCCCAUCAGUGGACGAAAACAACAUCAUUUUCUGAUGUUUUAAUAGCCAUCAAUAAACAGGUGGAUAUAUUAAUGAUUGCAAAGUGCUCAGACAUUAUAAUAAAAGGGAGGUAUGUACAACUAUUGGUGAGUAAUAAAAAUAAUGUCUGCAGGAACUUUACUGGAACCACAGAACAGAGGGCUACAGAUCCUGUUAUAAUCCGAUGGGCAAUAUUUUAUCAUUGUAAAUAUCUUUUAAAAGAAAGUCCCCAUGUCUAAUCUAUAACCAAGAAAUGUAAUAGGAUCUGCAGAAUUUACGAAGCAAGGACUAUUCACAAAUACUUCCGAGCAAAGUGACCUCACCCGAUUUCAAGAAAAAAAUGCAAACAAUUCAUGCUAGGUGUUUUCAACUGUGUAAACAAUGCCUAACAUUCUGAGACAAAGCCAAGAGCUCCUCACUUUUUCUAAAAUUGCACAGGUCUUUUUUGGCAUAAAGUUUUAUACAAAUAUUUCAGGUUUUCCCAAAUUUUAUGUGGAAAAUUUCUUGCAAUCAUGCAUGGAAACGUAUCUUAAUCUAGUUGAGAGGUCCCAACACUUCUGCAAGUAACAAUGAAAACAGACUUUAGUGACAUUCUAGCUUUAAAAUAACUAAAAUUAUAAAACAAAUUUUUGACAAAGUUUCCAAAAUCUUUGGGUGCACUUUAAUCUCAGAAUUAUAUUACCCAGCUGUACUUCCAUGUGCAAGUGUGUAAUUCAUAAAGAUAUAGGGGUAUUCAAAGGAUUAUAUUUGCCAAAAUUUUUUAGAACCUGAUUCCUAAUCCUCAUGUGUCAAAGACAAAGACUGAAAACCUCAAUGGUUAAAAAGAAAGAUAAUAUACUGCUUGCUACUCAACCUGAACUACAAUGGAAGGGGGAAAAAUCAGUGUUAAUCUUGCUAGUCAAACCUUAAUCAAUUUUAUAUUUUGCUUAGCUUUUCCUUUUUCAGCAUGUAUAUAAUUUUAUAUAUAAUAUAUGCAUGGUUUUACAUUUAUUAUCUGUAUGCGUGCUCACCCCAAAACAUUAAUUCAUCCUUAAUUUUUUUGGUUAAAGUUACACCCUUAAUGUUAUUUUAACAUAGGGCUUUUUUGUAAUGUAAUGAUAUUUAAUUUGCAUUAGCACAAGUGACAUACAAUAGAUCAUGCUAUUAUCAUGAUUGAUAUCAGAUGAACUGGCAUAAAUUCAACAUUAUAAAUUGAGCCUAUAAAUGAAACUAUUAUUUUACAGGAAUUACUGUAGUAGAAAGGCUAAGGACCCUCAAGUCAACCUUAGUCAAACCCACUCUUUAGAGUUUUAUAUUUUAUGCCUGCAAUAAAUGCUUUUGUGAAAGCCCAUAACCUGAAAAAAAAAAAAGUCAUUGGAAGUCUAUUAAUUAUAAUAAUACUAUCCAAAAAGCUGUGAGGGCUUAUUUUUGUGACAUCACUCUUUGAUUUCUUACUGCCUUAAAUUAUCCCUUUGUUGGCUGGGUGAGGGUAACAGUCAUACUUUUGUCAUUAAAUAUAAGGAGUUUUAAAGCCUGAUCCACCUUAGCUCUAAUUGAUAUUGCUUUCAUUUGGCAGAUAGUGACCUGAUUUAUAAUUUAAAUAUGCAUCAUUAUAUGCACCUCUUCUGUAUAAUGAAAAAGCGAAGUUACUCUCAUCUUUUCCUGCAAUGUUAACAUCAAGGAAAAGUAUCUUUCUUUUUUCCCUUUUAUACUCGGAGCCUAAUUGAAAACUGUUCAUUGAAUUUCAACAUGAUAGAAAAGUCUUUUUAUCUCUCAAUUUGUCCAUUAGCUAUUAUAAUUGAAGUAUCUGCUACACAGCUGAAUUGAUAUUGUUCUUGUUUAAAUUCUGGAUUUCUCUAAAUCUUCUAUGAGGCAUCAACUAAAAAAAUAUGGGUUAGGAGACAUUAGCUAACAAUAUUGCCUAAAUGGGACAUUAGACUAGCACUCCACAUGUGUAAAGCUACAGAAAGUAGGAAGUCAUCUAAUUUUACUGGAGAACGUGUUGCAUAAUAAUCUUAACAGCAUGACCAUAAGGUUUGCUAAUUGCCACAUCUGUUUAACAGCUGUCAGAUGUUUGCCAUAUGCUGCCAUCAAUAUUACAACAGAGUACAUUACAGGGAGUUUUAUUGUGUUCGACUGUUAUUUAUUUGCCACAGACAUUACUACAGCCAGUGACGUCUAUUUAUGUUAGAUCACUAAUUAUAUUUUAAAAGCUGCACGCAAAAUCCAUGUUUUUCAGCUUCCUUAGACCCUAUUUCUGAUGAUGUAACUAAUAUUUUUUCCUUACAGAUCUCUGAACUGAUUUAUAAAUUUCUCUCUUCUUAUGGUAAAUAAUUCUUCAGUAAAAUAACUUAUUUAUGCUGUUUUUGAAGGGUGUUUGUUUCUAAAUCCAAGUUAUGUUUUAAUGGUGAUGUUUGUAAGAACUCAAAAAUGAAUUUCUUUUUCAAAGAGCCCACUUCAUCCCAUGCUUUUUUCACCAGUACACAGGUCAGGGAUGAAAGACAAUUCAGUGCUUACAGCUCAGGAGUCUGGGUACCCUAACUCUAGACCCAAUCCCACCAUGGACUCAUUAUAUGAUUUUGAGUCAUCAUACAACUUUAAUUCUGGUUUGUCUGUCUGUAAGCUAAAUACCUGCUGUACAGCUGUAACAUCAGAACUCAUCCAUUAGAUGUCUAAAAAGUAAAAGGUGAUAAAGGAGUAUUACCACGAAAGCAUAAAAAUAGGGUUGAUCUUCACUGUUCUUUUAAACACUCUUUCAUGUUUUUUUUAAAUGACCUUUCAACUGGUCCGUGCAUUACUUUUUUGUUACAUGUAGCUGCUACAGCAAUGAAAUAGGAAGCAGAGAUUGACAAAGUGCAGACUAGGCAAAAUAUGCAUGAUGUGAUUUAAUAUGAGUUGAUAGGUGUCACUGAUCUCUAUUAUAAAUAGACUGUGUGAAUUCCAUAUGAUGUAUUAUUUAUCUAUUGUAGAUGCCUUUUUGUUUCAUUAAUAAAGCUGGAAAUCAGACGUAUACAUUUCCAAUGAUGAGUUUUUGGCAAUAAAAGGCAUUGUGGUAUUUGUCUGCAAUUGCUCAAUUAUUUUGAUGAUUUUCUGCUUAUUUAUGUAUAAAUGAUUAAUGCUUGAGAUGUUUGUUCAAGAUUAUUCUGAUUUUAGCUCAUUUGUCCAGCUGAAUUCUUUUUUUCUUCUCUAGUGAAAGAAGAUUAUUGUAGUGUAAGAACUUCCACUUUGACCUGAAUUAUAGCUCCUUUGAAACGUUGCACCAGAGUACGCAAUGUAGGUCCUCUUACUUAAGUUUGUGAGAUCGGAUAACUCCAACAAAUCUCACAUUAACGAGUUUUCAGUUUAAAUCUGCUUCAAAGCAGAAACUCUUAUACUCUUGUUCUACCUACAGUUAAAAAUGUUCCCCUGGUAUGUCUGUGCUUGAGAAAGUUAAGAACAUACAAUGCUGCUUAUAUAAGUAGGAAAGAAGACAAAGUUUCCAAAAUUCUGAAGGGAGCAGUAAGCAGCAGCUAGCGCCUUCUGUUUACUCUUUCUAAAGAUGCGAAAGCAAAGAUAUCCUUGAAGACAUUAAAGGGCAAAGAGUUUAAAAUAAAAGGCAAAACUGCGGGUUAUAACUGUGGGAGCCACAUUAUCAAGCCUCCAAGCCCUCUGAGAUGGGCGAGGAUGAUGGGGGUUCACUGAAGGAGGGCAAUGGGGCUGUGUGCUCAGCAAGCAUAUGCCUUGAGGAGAAGUAGGUGCUCAGUUCCCAUGAGAAAUCAAACUGCCUUACAAGAACGCCUCCAUCAGUAAUCUAAAAUUUGUCUGCCUUCUGCAUUUGAUCUCCUUAUUUUCUUCUUAUAUGCCUUUUUAAUGCUGUUUGUAGCCAUUUCAAUUAUGUGAUUUCCUUAUCUGUAUACCAUAGAGAAUACUGUACAAGACUUUAUAAACAGCUACUAAGUUUAUCUGCCUGUCAUUUGGUUUUCAUUAUGCGAGAUAACAAUCUUUCUCAUAUCUUAUAAGAAGAUAUAAUGUGAUUGUUUCUAAACGGGAAG
Long non-coding RNA from Cygnus olor (mute swan), 6032 nucleotides. RefSeq lists it as uncharacterized. Lineage: Eukaryota; Metazoa; Chordata; Aves; Anseriformes; Anatidae. The record is from RefSeq and is a predicted model, not a curated record. The transcript is spliced from 13 exons.